CCCAGACUCCUACGGGAGGCAGCAGUGGGGGAUAUUGCACAAUGGGGGGAACCCUGAUGCAGCGACGCCGCGUGGGUGAAGAAGCGCCUCGGCGCGUAAAGCCCUGUCAGCAGGGAAGAAAAUGACGGUACCUGAAGAAGAAGCCCCGGCUAACUACGUGCCAGCAGCCGCGGUAAUACGUAGGGGGCAAGCGUUAUCCGGAUUUACUGGGUGUAAAGGGAGCGUAGACGGCAAGGCAAGUCUGGAGUGAAAGCCCGUGGCUCAACCACGGGACUGCUUUGGAAACUGUGUUGCUGGAGUGCAGGAGGGGUAAGCGGAAUUCCUAGUGUAGCGGUGAAAUGCGUAGAUAUUAGGAGGAACACCGGUGGCGAAGGCGGCUUACUGGACUGUAACUGACGUUGAGGCUCGAAGGCGUGGGGAGCAAACAGGAUUAGAUACCCCAGUA
This 445-nucleotide ribosomal RNA is filed under the name uncultured bacterium. Its description in RNAcentral is "bacterial SSU rRNA". It matches the Rfam family "Bacterial small subunit ribosomal RNA", at positions 330 to 792 of the family's 1533-position model. The record is from RNAcentral.